UCCCCUCGCUGGUCGCCGCGGCCGAAACAAAAAAAAACACCCGCUCAAUCGAUCCCCUCGCUGGUCGCCGCGGCCGUCGAUUUCCCGGGCGAGGGUGCUUAGAUCCGGCGACUUGGUAAUUGUGGCGCCAACUUCUAGAUCCUGUCGGAGUCGUCGCUGCCUGGGGUUUCCGUGCCCAACUGUCGACGAGCCGGCCGCCGGCCCCCAUUGCCGCGGCGACGAGCCGACGGCCGCCCACCAUUGCUGUGCGUACGAGCCAGCCACCGCCCGCAAUUUCUUCAGCAGUCACUCCCCGUUGUUCCCCGACUCAACGCCGGCCGGCAGCUAGAUGGAUAGACUUUGGAUUUGUGGCACACUAUUCUCUCGGGAGUACAUCGAUGGUGUCAAAGAGUUUAUGAACUUCACUCAAGCAAAAUUCAGCGAGGAUGAAGAAAUACUCUGCCCAUGUAGACAAUGCCUUAAUCACAAAUACUGGCAUCAGGCCAUUGUGAACAAGCACAUAUUGAUGAAUGGCAUGGAAAAUAAGUGAGACCGCUCGCUGAAAAGGGCCGGCCCAUUAUUCUUUUCAAUCGCUGCCA
This is a long non-coding RNA of Triticum aestivum (bread wheat), 578 nucleotides long. RefSeq lists it as uncharacterized. The record is from RefSeq and is a predicted model, not a curated record. The transcript is spliced from 2 exons. Lineage: Eukaryota; Viridiplantae; Streptophyta; Magnoliopsida; Poales; Poaceae.